RNAcentral lists this ribosomal RNA (482 nucleotides) under uncultured bacterium. RNAcentral's name for it is "partial 16S ribosomal RNA". It matches the Rfam family "Bacterial small subunit ribosomal RNA", at positions 28 to 523 of the family's 1533-position model. The record is from RNAcentral.
GAUGAAUGCUGGCGGCGUGCCUAAUACAUGCAAGUCGUACGGAAAGGCCCUUCGGGGUACUCGAGUGGCGGACGGCUGAGUAACGCGUGGGAACGUGCCCCAAAGUGAGGGAUAACGCACCGAAAGGUGUGCUAAUACCGCAUAUGGUCUUCGGAUUAAAGCUUCGGCGCUUUGGGAGCGGCCGAUGUCAGAUUAGCUAGUUGGUGAGGUAAAGGCUCACCAAGGCGACGAUCUGUAGCGGGUCUGAGAGGAUGAUCCGCCACACUGGGACUGAGACACGGCCCAGACUCCUACGGGAGGCAGCAGUGGGGAAUUUUGGACAAUGGGGGCAACCCUGAUCCAGCCAUGCCGCGUGAGUGAAGAAGGCCUUCGGGUUGUAAAGCUCUUUCGGCCGGGAAGAAAUCGCACAGGCUAAUACUCUGUGUGGAUGACGGUACCGGCAUAAGAAGCACCGGCUAACUACGUGCCAGCCGCCGCGGUAA